RNAcentral lists this small nuclear RNA (312 nucleotides) under Ursus americanus (American black bear). Its description in RNAcentral is "7SK RNA (ENSUAMG00000004391.1)". It matches the Rfam family "7SK RNA". From Rfam's summary of the family: 7SK was discovered as an abundant small nuclear RNA in the mid-70s but a possible function has only recently been suggested. Two independent studies have found that 7SK RNA binds the CDK9/cyclin T complex (known as elongation factor P-TEFb). P-TEFb activates transcription by phosphorylating the C-terminal domain of RNA polymerase II. The record is from RNAcentral. Lineage: Eukaryota; Metazoa; Chordata; Mammalia; Carnivora; Ursidae.
GGAUGUGAGGGCGAUCUGGCUGCGACAUCUGUCACCCCAUUGAUCGCCAGGGUUGAUUCAGCUGAUCUGGCUGGCUAGGCGGGUGUCCCCUUCCUCCCUCACCGCUCCAUGUGCGUCCCUCCCGAAGCUGUGCGCUCGAAGAGGACAACCUUCCCCGAUAGAGGAGGACCGUUCUUCGGUCAAGGGUAUACGAGUAGCUGCGCUCCCCUGCUAGAACCUCCAAACAAGCUCUCAAGUCCAAGAAACUGAGUGUGACCCUUUCUCCCCAACACUUUCAUGCCCUGCAAGCAAAAUCUUCAGUUGCAUACAUGU